UUGACGAUCGCUAUGAAAUUAUGCCUUUCGUUUGUAAACGGAUUAAUAAAGUAAGAAAAGUAACUUUGAAAAAUUAUUCACGACGUUUCUGAGAGGUGAGAUGCGGUAGAGAGUCGAAAAGUGGACUUUUACCCCCUUUUUUGACCUAAAUCCUUAUCUCAGAACCAGAAAUCAUUGACGAUCGCUAUGAAAUUAUGCCUAUCGUUUGUAAACGGAUUAAUGAAGUGAGAAAAGUAACUUUUAAAAAUUAUUCACGACGUUUCUGAGAGGUGAGAUGCGGUAGAAAGUCGAAAAGUGGACUUUUACCCCCUUUUUUGACUUAAAUCCUUAUCUCAGAACCAGGAAUCAUUGACGAUCGCUAUGAAAUUAUGCCUAUCGUUUGUAAACGGAUUAAUGAAGUGAGAAAAGUAACUUUUAAAAAU
Molecule: long non-coding RNA, 422 nt
Organism: Anthonomus grandis grandis
Lineage: Eukaryota; Metazoa; Arthropoda; Insecta; Coleoptera; Curculionidae
Exons: 3
Source: RefSeq, a predicted model, not a curated record